This 4617-nucleotide ribosomal RNA is filed under the name Acidimicrobiia bacterium. Its description in RNAcentral is "23S ribosomal RNA". It matches the Rfam family "Bacterial large subunit ribosomal RNA". The record is from RNAcentral. Lineage: Bacteria; Bacillati; Actinomycetota; Acidimicrobiia.
AUUCAAGCUACUACGGGUAGUUGGUGGAUGCCUUGGCGCUAGGAGCCGAUGAAGGACGUGAUGGUCUGCGAAAAGCCUCGGGGAGUUGACGAAUAAGCGUUGAUCCGGGGAUGUCCGAAUUGGGAAACCAGGCUGGGGUAAUGCCCAGUCAUUCCGGUCUGAACACAUAGGGCCGGCAAAGGAAACCGAGGGAAUUGAAACAUCUCAGUACCUCGAGGAAUGGAAAACAACAGUGAUUCCCUGAGUAGCGGCGAGCGAAACGGGAAGAGCCCAAACCAGUGCGGUGUGAUAGGUCGACGCCGUUGCCGUGCUGGGGUUGUGGGACUCGUCAGAGGGGUCGUCGAACCCUUCAGAGAGUUACAAACUCACCAGAUAGCCGAAUUCGACUGGAAAGUCGAGCCACAGGAGGUAACAGCCCCGUAGGUGAAAUCUGUGUGAGCUCUCGAUGAUGUUCCCAAGUAGCACGGGGCACGUGAAAUCCCGUGUGAAUCUGCCAGGACCACCUGGUAAGGCUAAAUACUACCUAGCGACCGAUAGCGGAUCAGUACCGUGAGGGAACGGUGAAAAGUACCCCGGUGAGGGGAGUGAAACAGUACCUGAAACCAAUUACUUACAAGCAGUAGGAGGGAUCGCAUUCAUUGCGGUCCUGACUGCCUGCCUUUUGAAGAAUGAGCCUACGAGUUAUCGAUGUGUGGCAAGGUUAAGCCGAGAGGUGUAGCCGCAGCGAAAGCAAGUCUUAAUAGGGCGCCAAGUCGCAUGUCAUAGACCCGAAGCCGAGUGAUCUAUCCAUGGACAGGGUGAAGCGAGGGUAAGACCUCGUGGAGGCCCGAACCCACCUAGGUUAAAAACUGGGGGGAUGAUCUGUGGAUAGGGGUGAAAGGCCAAUCAAACUCGGCGAUAGCUGGUUCUCCUCGAAAUAGCUUUAGGGCUAGCGUUGUAUGUUCCGCCUUGGGGGUAGAGCACUGAUUGGGUUAGGGGGCCAACAAGCUUACCGACCCCAGUCAAACUCCGAAUCCCAGGGCGCCAAGUACAGCAGUCAGACCAUGUGGGAUAAGCUUCAUGGUCGAAAGGGAAACAGCCCAGACCGCCAGUUAAGGUCCCAAAAUCAUGACUAAGUGGGGAACGAUGUAGGGUUGCCCAAACAGCCAGGAGGUUGGCUUAGAAGCAGCCAUCCUUUAAAGAGUGCGUAACAGCUCACUGGUCGAGUGAUCCCGCGCGGAUGAUGUAACGGGGCUCAAGUCAUGUACCGAAACUGCGGAUUCACGCUUUAACCCAGGCCUUCGUGGUCCAGGGGGCGUGAAUGGUAGAGGAGCGUCGAGUGUCCAUCGAAGCGGCGGCGUAAGCCAGUCGUGGAGGGCACUCGAGUGAGAAUGUAGGCAUGAGUAGCGAAUGAAGAGUGAGAAUCUCUUCCGCCGAAUGUCCAAGGUUUCCUGGGGAAGGCUCGUCCGCCCAGGGUUAGUCGGGACCUAAGGUGAGGCCGAAAGGCGUAAUCGAUGGAUAACAGGUUGAUAUUCCUGUACUACCCAAGACGCGUCCAGACCGAACUACGUUUGCUAAGGAAAGCCCUUCGGGGCCUACCGACCCAGCGUGUAUUAGGUGAGCAAUGGAGUGACACAGAAGGGCAAGUGGACCCGGGCGAUGGUUGACCCGGGGUAAGUGCGUAGGCUGAGCUCCAGGUUAAUCCGGAGCUCGUGAAGGCUGAGACACGAUGCCGAGCCGCUAUUAGGCGAAGCCACCUCACCCAUGCUGUCAAGAAAAGCUUCUAGCGAGUUUCUUGGGUACCCGUACCCCAAACCGACACAGGUGGACAAGUAGAGAAUACUAAGGCGAGCGAGAAAACUCUGGUUAAGGAAUUCGGCAAAAUGGAUCCGUAACUUCGGGAGAAGGAUCGCCCCGGUAGGGUGUAGGACCUCGCGUCCGAAGCCUGAUGGGGUUGCAGAAACCAGGCCCAAGCGACUGUUUAUUAAAAACACAGGAGGGUGCUAAGUCGUAAGACGACGUAUACCCUCUGACGCCUGCCCGGUGCUAGAAGGUCAAGUGGAUCGGUUAGCUCUUUUGAGCGAAGCUGUGAAAUCAAGCCCUAGUAAACGGCGGCGGUAACUAUAACCGUUAAACAGAAAACUGAAUGGCGGUUACAAAACCUGGCUAUAUGCUGGAACAUCCGAGCAUCCGGCGGUACUCGUUCAUGUCACAGGUGUGUGAUACAUCUGGAGCAUGAGCAGUGAAAAUCCGUCCGGUGCGGACAAUCAGCAGGAAACCAAAGACACGACGCAGCAGCUCGAUCCGAGCUGGAUCGUUGGGUUUGUUGAUGGAGAGGGGUGCUUUUCAGUAAGCAUCCACCGAAAUCGGCGAUACGCCCGACGCACGCGAGGCUGGCAACUCACGCCAGUCUUUGCGGUGUACCAGCACGAGAAAGAGCGAAGAUUGCUUGAGCGCAUGCGCGACCAUUUCGGUUGUGGCAAGCUCUAUCACAAAGGUCCGAACAGUUCUGUUGUCACCUACUCGGUGGCCAGGAUCACGGACCUUGAACUACGGAUUAUUCCGUUCUUCGAGAAGCACCGGUUGCUCGUGAAGGAUGACGACUUCAUUCGUUUCGCAGAGAUCGUGAGAUCGAUGCGGCGAAAGGAGCACUUUCAUCCGGAUCGCUUCGAAACACUCGUCCGGCUUGCCUACGCCAUGAACGGUCAUGGCAAACAGCGAGCUCGGCCGAUCGAAGCAAUCCUGCAGGGAUCCUCAGAGACUGUACGCCAGGCCCCUCCGUGAGUGGAGGGGAUGAUACAGUCCGAUCCUCAUGGCGACAUGGGGAGUCAGGCAGAAAUGCCCUGACCAGUUCUGUGCGGGCCGUCCCCGCAUCGACAUAACAGAACGAGUAACAAGAAUGCCUAAGGUAGCGAAAUUCCUUGUCGGGUAAUUGAAUUGCCCGUCAGUGGAGGUGACUCCACUUAUCAAACCCACUCAUAACGGCGAAGCCCACACCGACUGCUCGGCUCAAGGACCGAGCGAUAGUCGACGGGUAAUGCCGUGGGAAGUCCUCUGUCGGUGUCGCCACCGAUAUGACCCCGUAACGACUGAAUCCUUCAGGAUUCGGUGCCGGAACAUGUCAUACACGCAACAUAUGUUGUGGAGAUAUGGCAAAUCUAUGGCCGGCACAAUACGUGGGCUCUCGUUCAGCAAUCGACUUUCCUUCUUACGUCUCCGGUUUCUUCGACGGCGAAGGCUGUUUCACCGUCUCAAUCUCACCUCGAGCUUCGCUCAAAGUGGGUUGGGAGGUCCGACCAUCAGUGUCGGUCAGCCAGAACGAAGACCGGAGCCGGGUGCUUCACCUGAUCAUGGACUACUUCGGAUGCGGAACCAUCCGUCGUGAUUCAACCGAUCUGACCGUGAAGUGGGAGGUGCGCAGUCUGCAGACCCUGCGAGAACGAGUCCUUCCUCACUUUGAGGAUUGGCCGGUUCUUUCAGCGAAACAGAACGAUGUUGACCUAUUCGUCGCCGUGUGCGACGCGAUGGCGAGACGGGAGCAUCUCCAGCCAGGAGGACUGAUUGAGAUCGUAGAUAUGGCACGAAGGAUGAACCCGAGCGGCAAGCGACGGUUCGAUCCGGAAACCAUCAUCGAUCAACUGAACGAGAUGAAGGCAUAGUCUAUCCCCCGAGGAAACUCGGGGAAAUCGAUGAAGUUCCGACCUGCACGAAUGGCGUAACGACUCGGGCACUGUCUCAACCAGAGACUCGGCGAAAUUGCAAUGUGAGUAAAGAUGCUCACUUCCCGCAACAGGACGGAGAGACCCCGGGACCUUUACUGCAGCUUGACAUUGAAGCUCUUCCUGCGAUGUGUAGGAUAGGUGGGAGCCUUUGAAGCAUCCGCGCUAGCGGGUGUGGAGGCAACGUUGAAAUACCACCCUUCUCAUGAAGCUCUUCUAACCUCGGUCCAUUAUCUGGAUCAGGAACAGUGUCUGGUGGGCAGUUUCACUGGGGUGGUGGCCUCCUAAAAUGUAACGGAGGCGCCCAAAGGUUCCCUCAGCCAGGUCGGCAAUCUGGCGUUGAGUGCAAAAGCACAAGGGAGCUUGACUGCGAGACAAACAAGUCGAGCAGGUACGAAAGUAGGGUUUAGUGAUCCCUCGGCGGCAUGUGGGUGCGCCGAGGCCAACGGCUAAAAGGUACCCCGGGGAUAACAGGCUCAUACCGCCCAAGAGUCCAUAUCGACGGCGGUGUUUGGCACCUCGAUGUCGGCUCGUCUCAUCCUGGGGCUGAAGCAGGUCCCAAGGGUCGGGCUGUUCGCCCGUUAAAGAGGCACGCGAGCUGGGUUUAGAACGUCGUGAGACAGUUCGGUCCCUAUCCGUUGUGGGCGCAGGAGAUUUGAGGAGAGUUGUCCCUAGUACGAGAGGACCGGGAUGAACGUACCUCUGGUGUGCCAGUUGUCCUGCCAAGGGCACGGCUGGUUUGCUACGUACGGAACGGAUAAGCGCUGAAAGCAUCUAAGCGCGAAGCCGGCUCCAAGAUGAGAUCUCCCACUGAGAAAUCAGGUAAGACCCCUGGUAGACGACCAGGUUGAUAGGCCGGAAGUGGAAGCGCAGCAAUGCGUGAAGCUGACCGGUACUAAUAGGUCGAGGGCUUGAAUUU